UCUCCUGGAAAACGGGUGGUAAUGCCGGAUGCUCCGACUCCUCGCAUGGGGUGUCGGGAAAGAUUUCAUCGGUAUGGGAUGGGGUCGCGUCCUAUCAGGUAGUCGGCGGGGUAACGGCCCACCGAGCCUACGACGGGUAGCCGGCCUGAGAGGGCGACCGGCCACAUUGGGACUGAGAUACGGCCCAGACUCCUACGGGAGGCAGCAGUGGGGAAUAUUGCACAAUGGGCGCAAGCCUGAUGCAGCGACGCCGCGUGCGGGAUGACGGCCUUCGGGUUGUAAACCGCUUUUGAUCGGGAGCAAGCCUUCGGGUGAGUGUACCUUUCGAAUAAGCACCGGCUAACUACGUGCCAGCAGCCGCGGUAAUACGUAGGGUGCAAGCGUUAUCCGGAAUUAUUGGGCGUAAAGGGCUCGUAGGCGGUUCGUCGCGUCCGGUGUGAAAGUCCAUCGCUUAACGGUGGAUCUGCGCCGGGUACGGGCGGGCUGGAGUGCGGUAGGGGAGACUGGAAUUCCCGGUGUAACGGUGGAAUGUGUAGAUAUCGGGAAAGAAC
Molecule: ribosomal RNA, 551 nt
Filed under: Bifidobacterium pseudocatenulatum
Lineage: Bacteria; Bacillati; Actinomycetota; Actinomycetes; Bifidobacteriales; Bifidobacteriaceae
Description: bacterial SSU rRNA
Rfam family: Bacterial small subunit ribosomal RNA
Source: RNAcentral